CAACGACGUUUUAAAAAAAUGCCACGUUUUACUCCACAUAACAGAUCCCUCCGUGUUUCAGUGGUUCACUUAAAAAAAAAAAAAAAACAAACAAACAAACAAAUGGGUCACCGUUAGAACUCUCAUACUCCGUUAUCUCUCAUCAUGCUCAGAUCUCACUCUCAAAGAUCUCACUCUGUCACACAUCGCUAUUCUCUCUCGCGAUCGAACUUUCGAGGUCUUCGCUGUUCGCUAUUCUUCAUCAAUCACUAUUUUUCAUCAAUCGCGUUAUAUCGUCGAUCUCACAUAGAUCUCACUCUCUUCGCUGUUCUUCAUCAAUCGCGUCGAUCUCUGGAUGUACUUCUCUGCUAGGCGAUUGACGAUUAUUGCCCAUAAAGUACAUCUCUGGAGUACUCCUAUGGGAAAAAAUAGAUGUUCUUCAUCAAUCGCGUCGAUCUCGAAGCUAAUUGAACUCCAACUCGAUCUCUCUCGCUAUUAGCUCCCAUCUUGAGUUCGCAAAUCGCAAAUCCAAAAUCGAUAUCAUGUUGUCAAAGAUAAGUGUACUGGCAAAACCAAGGGCUAUGGAUUUGUUAGUUUUGCCAACCCUUUAGAUCUUGCAGCAGCACUAAAAGAAAUGAAUGGAAACUGGAAAUAUUGACAUCGAAGGCGUUGACUCAACCAAUGCUUGCUCUGGUGGAACUGCAGCUUUAUUCAACUGUGUCAACUGGGUGGAGAGUCGUUCAUGGGAUGGACGCUAUGGAUUUGUGGUCUACACAGACAGUGCGGGCCUGAUGCUCCUAUAGCAUUUGAAAGCAAAUUUAGGGGAAACCAUAUGUCGCAUGCCUAUGAUUUUUACAAGCCCAACCGUGCAAGUGAAUAUCCGCUUGUUCAAAAGAGCUUUGCCUGGUUGUGGUUCAAUGACUUCUUGAGGAAUGUCGUGAUUCGAUGACUUCUUGAGGAAUGCCAUGAUCUAGAGAUUGCUUUCACCAUGUCUCUCUUAAAACUAAUUGGUGCUAGAGAGGGUUUUAGCUUUAGUUUUAAGAUUAUGUGAGGUCGACCUAUCAGUGUCUCUUGAGCUUUUGAAGCUGUUAUGAAAAUUUCUCCAAGUAUCUAAUCCCAUUUGUUCCCCUAGCUAUGGUCUCUUAGUGUCAGUCGGCCUUUAGAAUGCCUUUGCUAAGGCUAAAUAUGUUUUAUUCAUGUUAUUUGUUCUUGUCAAAUGUUGGUUCAAAUAUCAAAGAAAGGAAAGAAAAAGAAGAAGUAGAUAGGACAAACUCAAUGAAAGAGGCCUUUUUUUGUUGUAAGUUUUAUUCUUAAAAUUAAAGUUGUUGAGGUGGAAUAAUAUUGUAUUUCAUCAUCUCUACUGUGGUUAAUUUCUAAGAAGUGUUAAUUUUGUUACAAUUU
Molecule: non-coding RNA, 1380 nt
Organism: Camellia sinensis
Lineage: Eukaryota; Viridiplantae; Streptophyta; Magnoliopsida; Ericales; Theaceae
Source: RefSeq, a predicted model, not a curated record